Labrus bergylta (ballan wrasse) is the source of this 2840-nucleotide non-coding RNA. NCBI's taxonomy places the organism in Eukaryota, Metazoa, Chordata, Actinopteri, Labriformes, Labridae. The record is from RefSeq and is a predicted model, not a curated record.
GGUUCCUUCAAACUAUGUGACCCCAGCCUGACCUCUGUAACAGCUGCUAAUAUUAGCACAGACAUGCUUCCCAGUCUGUCUAAGGAGGACUUGCGUGACCUCUUUCCGGGGCCUGAGCACUUUUUCCGAAGGAGAGCCAUUUGGAGGACCACACAUGGUGAAAAUGAGGUGAUAUCAGAUUUUAACAUUGUGUCGAUAUUUAACCAUGCUGCGAUUUACAAUGUCUGUGAAACUGUCAUGGUCUGUGUCUUUCAUUCCCUGUUGAUUUUCCUGUUUUCAGUGUCUAGUCUUCCUCUAGUCUUCCUUUUUGUUCCCCGCUACCUGUUUGGUUGUAUCUGCAUUUUGGUCCAAUCCUGCACCUCCUCUAGAACUUAUGAUGCCGCCACAAUUCCCACUACCCCAACCCGUUUGUCAACCCCUUCUUCCUCCCCUGCAACUAUCCCCUCCUCAAAGCCAGGAGACAGUGCCAGCAGAACUGCACAGCUUCUAAGUCCACAAUAUAUUGUAUACACUGUUACGGCUGUAUGUUUCCCUGUGCCCUGUGUCCCUUCUCCCCUUCUGUUGUCUCCAGCCCAGGUGGAGCUACUAAUUGCACAACGAGGUACACCUGGCCUCAGUGCUUAAAAGGCCAGUGCUGGCUGCAGAAGAGGAGGCAUUUUGAGUUGGGACUGCGUAGCUGCUCAGUCAGGGAUUGGCUGUUGUCUUUUGUUUCUCUUUUGAUCUUUGUUAUCAUUUAGUGUGUCAUUUUGUAAUAAAUCACUUUGUUUUGACUUUUGCUAAGGUGGUUAGUGUCUUUUAAUGGGUCAAUGUACGGUUUGCUGUUAGCCCCAUAGGGCCGCCUUUAUGGUGGGGCGUAACAACACAGACACAGAGCUGGAGCAGUGAAGAACCACCUUUUUUGAAAAACAGCGUGCUGGACAAGAAGGAGACUUUACCCUCUCCAAAGAGCUUCGCUGUCGCUUAAUAAGGAAUACAGUAACAAGCAUGAUUGCCAUCAAGAGAGCUGCAGGGGAUGACGUCCAGUAUCCAUGCAGCCGUGAGCUAACUGUGAUGGCUAAGCGUCUCAUUGACUACUCCCAAAGCUGCGGGAUAGAUCUGCAGCUAGUGGAGCUGAGUGGGAAUCUGUGAAGAAGCAGCUUUUGAAAAGGGUCCAAAAUGUGACAACCCCCAAAAAGAAGCAGGGAGCAACUCCUUCAAGAAAGAGGCGACUGGCUCAGCUCUGAGAGCAGCAACCAGGAGUCAUCCACUGAUGACACCGGGUCCAAUGCUUCAACUUUGAUCUUGGAAAGAUCACCGCAGUCUGGAGGCAGUUCCCUAGAGGCUGAACAGGUGGAUGAGCCUGAAACUACUGACAGAACCAGGCAAGACACUACAAAGUUCUGCAGGAGCUAUACAAAUCCAGGGCCAGACCCAAGAAGAAGGAUGUUGCCCAGCUGUUGGACCUUGAAUACCAAGCAAGACGGGCUUACAUUGACUCUGAUGUUAUGAAGGAGCAAGACAGACCUACCAAGAUUCUUCAAGCAUAUCCCUGCUUCAGAGAAGUGGAUCAGAAAAUCAAAUCAUUUUAAGUUGACUUAUGUUUAAUAUUAAUAGGUUAAUCUGCAAUUUAUACUUGCAUAGUAGGUCCAGAAAUGUUGUAUUCACUAGAUUUUGAUUGGAAUGUAAAUUUUAAAAGAUACUUUCUAUCUGUCCUUCUGUGGUAGAUAAUGGAUGAACUGCAGCAGAUCCUCAAUCAAGGAAACUCCCACUUCAUACCUGAACUGAAGAACCGCUGGGGGACCUUUUUGUGAGAAGAUCCAGUUUUAUGGAGUUUUCAAAAAAGUCAUGAGACCUCCACUGGCAGAUAAAGUAAAGCAAGCGGUUGCAAUGAAGGCUUUGCCAGACAUCUUCCAUCACCUGUUGCUCCACCUAAGAAGUUGGGGCAUGCAAGUGAGGCUAUGCUUCACAUCCUUGAGUCUGUGGAAGACCCCAACACCUUCCUUCAGACAAGACCACUCUUCAGCCCUGUGGUGGUUGUCUGUGAGAGCAACUGCAUUCUGGCCAUCGGAACCACGCCUGUGCUGAUCUUCCCAAAGGAGGACCUCCCUGACAGUAUGAUAUGGCUGGCAAUGAAGUGAUAAUGGAGAGAUCUGUGAGGAGAAGACGGGUCCGUCCUCAACAGGAUGCCGAACAACACAUUCAACUGAAAACUGACAAGGCUGGUCUCGCAGAGCAUUUUAUCAACCCAUACAAAAAAAUGGCACCUGAUGUCAGUGAGCUGCUGACACCUGAUGUCAGCGAGCAGCUGAUACCUGAUGUCAGGGAGCAGCUGAUACCUGAUGUCAGGGACAGACCUCAGCAGCAAUUGGCACCUGAUGUUAGCCAGCCGAUUGUCGAAGAAAGCAACAGACCUCAGGUAGGGGCCAGUUUAUAAAAUACUACUUAAAGACCUGUUGAGCAAGAAUUUCUUUAUUGAAAUAGCAGAAAAUUCUCCAAAAAUGGUCCUACUCAUUCAUUCCUGUGUGACAGUGUGUGUGUCCACAGAGAGCCUGCCUUCCGCCUGUAAUUUCUUAUUUGUUAGUGUUGGGGGUGUAUGCCUGCCACCUAAACCACUGCUGAAUCCUUUUAUAUUAGUAUGUAUUAUUGUCCAGUGUUUCUCUUAUGACAGCCCAAGUAGUAAUGUACUGUAAGGACAAUGAUCUGUGUUUGGAACUUCUCCUAAAGUACUGACAGACUUACAUACUGGUGUUUUGACAUUAUACAUAGAUGAAUGUCCCCAAUUAGGUAUGGAGUAGCGUGUGUGUGUGUUUAGAACGACCUCAAAAGUGUGUGUGUGUGUGUGUGUGUGUGUGUGUGUGUGU